This 62-nucleotide transfer RNA is filed under the name Rhizobium leguminosarum bv. trifolii. RNAcentral's name for it is "tRNA-Arg". Lineage: Bacteria; Pseudomonadati; Pseudomonadota; Alphaproteobacteria; Hyphomicrobiales; Rhizobiaceae. The record is from RNAcentral.
GGCCCCUUAGCUCAGCUGGAUAGAGCACCUGCCUUCUAAGCAGGUUGUCGUAGGGGGCGCCA